This 486-nucleotide ribosomal RNA is filed under the name uncultured bacterium. RNAcentral describes it as "partial 16S ribosomal RNA". It matches the Rfam family "Bacterial small subunit ribosomal RNA", at positions 30 to 507 of the family's 1533-position model. The record is from RNAcentral.
AUUGAACGCUGGCGGCAUGCCUUACACAUGCAAGUCGAACGGCAGCACGGGUGCUUGCACCUGGUGGCGAGUGGCGAACGGGUGAGUAAUACAUCGGAACAUGUCCUGUAGUGGGGGAUAGCCCGGCGAAAGCCGGAUUAAUACCGCAUACGAUCUACGGAUGAAAGCGGGGGACCUUCGGGCCUCGCGCUAUAGGGUUGGCCGAUGGCUGAUUAGCUAGUUGGUGGGGUAAAGGCCUACCAAGGCGACGAUCAGUAGCUGGUCUGAGAGGACGACCAGCCACACUGGGACUGGGACACGGCCAAGCCUCCUACGGGAGGCAGCAGUGGGGAAUUUUGGACAAUGGGCGAAAGCCUGAUCCAGCAAUGCCGCGUGUGUGAAGAAGGCCUUCGGGUUGUAAAGCACUUUUGUCCGGAAAGAAAUCCUUGGCCCUAAUACGGUCGGGGGAUGACGGUACCGGAAGAAUAAGCACCGGCUAACUACGUG